This is a long non-coding RNA of Gadus morhua (Atlantic cod), 2060 nucleotides long. The record is from Ensembl. Lineage: Eukaryota; Metazoa; Chordata; Actinopteri; Gadiformes; Gadidae.
AUGAUCCGUCUGUUCGUAGGUAGGAUGACCCACCCCGUCCCCCCCACCCCGUCCCCCGCUGUGUCUUCUCAGGAUGCACUUACCCAGAUUCUAAUAAUAGUCGGGCGGUUUGCUGGAGCACAAAUGGCGGGACUCAAUGUUUUAUUUAUUAUUUCUUGCAAAUUGGUUUCCCCGCGUGGCGUUUGGAGCGGUAAUCUCCGGGAGGCUGGAGGUCGACGCCCACCUCAUGUUUUCAUUUAUUUCCUGGGAGAGCGGCGAAGGCAGCGACACAUUCUCAUCAUCCUGGAAACAGGGAUGAACCAAUCUCCCAUUUCCACACCUCAUGUUCCUGUCAAUCAAAACGCUACAACGUGAUUAGGAAGAACAACUGGAGGAGUCCAGGUGAUGUGGAUCCGCUUCUGAUGACAUUAGACUGGAGACUGGAAGAUGAUCUCCCAGCCACUGGUCAUACUGGAGGAGGAAGAGGAGGAGGAGGAGGAGGAGGAGGAGGAGGAGGAGGAGGAGGAGGAGGAGGGGGAGGAGGAGGAGGAGAAAGAGGAGGAGGAGGAUAAGAAGGAAGAGGAGGAGGAGGAGGAAGAGGAGGAGGAGCGGUAAGAGAUGUUUUUUUACAGUAGAACCUCUGAAGGUGCUAGCUCUACACUAGUAUUCUAUUCUUGAAAUAGACAAUUUUCCAGUAAUAAUUCAAUGAUUGAAAAAAUUCAAUAGAUAAUUGAAAAUAAAUAUAAUAAAUAUUGUUUCGAAAUAUAGUAUUAUUGUGGGUUCUUAUUUCAGAAAUAGCGGUGCUUUGUGCAAACCAUGAUGAUUCUGUUUCAAUGUUUUCGAUUGAUAUUUAACUGUUAAUUUUUUUGUUUACCCUUUUGUCUACCCUUUGUAUAUGGGGUAGUCCACAGUAGGCAAUACAGUGGUACACCUCAAGGUUGAUCAAAGCCUGCGAACCACUGCCUGGCACUACCAGAUCAAACAGUAAAAGCACAAACAUCCUCCCCCAGUAUGGUGGGGGGGAGGGGCCUUUAUUGUCUUAACUCAAACCCAGAAGGCCGUUCCACGAGUGCUGAGUACACUGUGGAGACGAGCAGUGCAACCCCAGCUGUAAGCAGAAGCUCCCUGCAGACGGCCACGCCCAGCCCGCUCCUCUCUGUACCUCACUGCUACACAGCACAGCUCUGCUCCCCGGGUCAAUUGCAUCACUGUCCAUGGCGGAAUGGCUCCGAUAUCAUUGUCUUGCUUAUUUCUGGUGUAAUAUUAGGUAUAAUUGCGUUAUUGUAUUUGAUGUGGUUAUAGGCUAUAGGAGAGAGUAUGCAUUUGCUUGCCUCGUGGCUGUCUGGUUUAUGAAUUUCUAUUUUAUGAUUUUUUUUACAGCCUUUGUACACAUGGGCUUUUUGAAAGUGAUUUUGAUCGAGACUGGUCAAUACUUUGUGUUUGUACAAAUUUCGGAUUCAUCAGGCCUGCUUAAUAGUUUAUUGAUUUCUUUCUAUUUUUCUUCUGGCCGUAAAGAUUUUUUUGUUUUCCCUCACAGAGCGGAGAGAAAUUAAGCUACAAAUGUCUCUUGUGGAAAAAUGUUGAUACAUUAUGUCAACAGUAGCCUAGAAUUAAUGUAUAUUAUAAAUUCGGCCUAAAGCAUACAGAAUAUUGUAUUUAUUAUAAUAUUUAUUGUUACAAAUAUGUUAGCUCACAUGGGCCACAACACUUGACUAUAAGUGUUACCACUGCAACCUCAUAAUGAACUAAAUAAAAAUGACCCAUUCUUUGUAAGAAUCAUUUGUCAUAAUUAUACCUGUCAGCAUUAUGGUUAAACUACGGUAAUGUUUAACUCUAAUCUAAUCUGGCAUGCAUGUUCAAAUUAGUCACAAUAAAUUAUGUUUUAAUAAAUUACAUCAUAAACACAAGGAAUUAUUCUGGAUGACUGACAGUGUGCAGUGCUUCCUGUAUUAUUUUAUUACCACGGAGAAAGGAGCGCCCGCAGGCAGGAUUUAGCAUAAUGGACGCGGUCCGGCUCCAGCAGAGCUGCGAUCUACAGUCAUUUCCAGGCCCAAUGCCGCCGGCCACGGCUGUGUUUUGAG